This 492-nucleotide ribosomal RNA is filed under the name uncultured bacterium. RNAcentral's name for it is "partial 16S ribosomal RNA". It matches the Rfam family "Bacterial small subunit ribosomal RNA", at positions 29 to 507 of the family's 1533-position model. The record is from RNAcentral.
AGUGAACGCUGGCGGUAGGCCUAACACAUGCAAGUCGAACGGCAGCACAGUAAGAGCUUGCUCUUACGGGUGGCGAGUGGCGGACGGGUGAGGAAUACAUCGGAAUCUACUUUUUCGUGGGGGAUAACGUAGGGAAACUUACGCUAAUACCGCAUACGACCUACGGGUGAAAGCAGGGGAUCUUCGGACCUUGCGCGAUUGAAUGAGCCGAUGUCGGAUUAGCUAGUUGGCGGGGUAAAGGCCGACCAAGGCGACGAUCCGUAGCUGGUCUGAGAGGAUGAUCAGCCACACUGGAACUGAGACACGGUCCAGACUCCUACGGGAGGCAGCAGUGGGGAAUAUUGGACAAUGGGCGCAAGCCUGAUCCAGCCAUACUGCGUGGGUGAAGAAGGCCUUCGGGUUGUAAAGCCCUUUUGUUGGGAAAGAAAAGCAGCAGGUUAAUACCCCGCUGUUCUGACGGUACCCAAAGAAUAAGCACCGGCUAACUUCGUG